UACGUAGGCGGAAAAUUAAGUCAGUGAUGAAAUCCUGCAGCUUAACUGUAGAACUGUUAUUGAUACUGAUUUUCUUGAAUAUAGUUGAGGUAGGCGGAAUGUGUAAUGUAGCGGUGAAAUGCUUAGAUAUUACACAGAACACCGAUUGCGAAGGCAGCUUACUAAGCUAUUAUUGACGCUGAGGCACGAAAGCGUGGGGAGCGAACAGGAUUAGAUACCCUGGUAGUCC
This 229-nucleotide ribosomal RNA is filed under the name uncultured bacterium. RNAcentral's name for it is "partial 16S ribosomal RNA". It matches the Rfam family "Bacterial small subunit ribosomal RNA", at positions 568 to 796 of the family's 1533-position model. The record is from RNAcentral.